GACUGAUAUAAAAUUUACAAAGAUUUACAAAAAAAAACAACUUUUCCCUCGUAUAAAAUGACGAACAAUGUAAUAAAAAAUUGAUAAAAUCGCCACGUUAUGUAUUGAAAAAUAUAUUUGCAUCAGAUACAACUUUCAUUACAGACACUCAAGUUGUAUUACCGUAUAGCGGGUUAUUUUCGAGGGUGUAUAAUUUCGGGAUUGUCGUUGAAUAAGAUAUACAAAAUAAUUUGGCGGUUAUUAUUUUGGCGGAUUCAAAGCUUUUCUCAAUACCUUUGCAUAUGCACUUUUAAAUGGGCGGAAUUUAUUUUGGCGAUUUUGUUCUAUAAGCGAAAAUAAGCGAAAAUUUACAUCCCGCGAAAUAACCCGCUAUAUGGUAUACAGUACAUUUCGGAUUAUAAAUUCUUGAAAUUAAACCCAAUCAAUAAUUAUAAAAUAAACAAGUAAUGCAUUUAAUAUUAUAUACAAAUAAACUGAGACUGUUUGCAAAAUGUCAAUAAAAUACACUGCACACUAUUGUUGAAUUUCUAUGCGUGUUGUGGAAGGGGGCAUCGGUGGCAGAGUAGUCCAUAAACAUAAAUUAUAUCAUUAGUCAGGCAUUGCUCAGAUUUUAGAGUUCGCAUCUCACAAAACGACAGA
RNAcentral lists this long non-coding RNA (639 nucleotides) under Mytilus galloprovincialis (Mediterranean mussel). Lineage: Eukaryota; Metazoa; Mollusca; Bivalvia; Mytilida; Mytilidae. The record is from RNAcentral.